CCUACGGGAGGCAGCAGUGGGGAAUAUUGGUCAAUGGAGGAAACUCUGAACCAGCAACGCCGCGUGAAUGAUGAAGGUCUUCGGAUUGUAAAGUUCUUUUCUAAGGGAAGAAGAAAGUGACGGUACCUUAGGAAUAAGCCUCGGCUAACUACGUGCCAGCAGCCGCGGUAAUACGUAGGAGGCGAGCGUUAUCCGGAAUGACUGGGCGUAAAGGGUGCGUAGGUGGUUUGACAAGUUGGUAGCGUAACUCCGAGGCUCAACCUCGGCACUACUACCAAAACUGUCGGACUUGAGUGCAGGAGGGGCAAUUGGAAUUCCUAGUGUAGCGGUGGAAUGCGCAGAUAUUAGGAGGAACACCGGUGGCGAAGGCGAAUUGCUGGACUGUAACUGACACUGAGGCACGAAAGCGUGGGGAGCAAACAGGAUUAGAUACCCGGG
This 438-nucleotide ribosomal RNA is filed under the name uncultured bacterium. RNAcentral's name for it is "bacterial SSU rRNA". It matches the Rfam family "Bacterial small subunit ribosomal RNA", at positions 338 to 790 of the family's 1533-position model. The record is from RNAcentral.